GAGAAAGUAGAUGUGAGAAUGUGACAGGAUGAAGCAUCUGAUGUCUUUAUUGUUUGUGUCUCUAUGGGGUGUUGCAUUUGGCACUGUUUGGAUUGUGCAGUGGUCGACCAGAGAGAAAUAUGAAGUUGGAGCUUCAGCAGUCCUUCAGUGCAACAUCAGAUCUCAUCAAGAAACUGUUAAGGGAUGUAAAAUAUAUUGGGUCAUAUUGGACCAAAGCAACAAAAAUAGGACAAAAAACAUUGUAAAAAUAGAGGAAUAUCAAAACAGAGUGCAAAUUCAUCAAAAUGGUACUUUUAGUGAAAUUACUCUUCACAAUCUUUCAACAUAUGACACAGAAGAGCUGUUUUGCACGGCAUCCUGUCUCAUUGAUGGAAUACUGAAGCAGAUCUCUAGCAACGGGACUUCACUGAUUAUAACUGAAUGGCAACCGGAGCCUGAAUUUCCAUGGCUACAGUAUCUCUUCUUCUCUCUUAAUCUGCUGGUCUUCUUAAUAGCCACCAUUAUCUGUGCAUUAAUCAUUCGAAAUAGGAUCCAAAGAAAUUAGCACUGGUGACUGUAUAUAUAAUAUUCUGUAUUUUGCAUAAUACUGUGCAACUUUCUGUGCUUUUAUACUUUGUACAACUGUCAGUACUGCAUCCUGCAAGUGAUCCUAAAUUAAUAUUGCUUGAAUGUAAUUAAAACCUGAAAUCUGUAGGCUGUGACUGACUGGAAACAAUAUUAUUAUGAUAUCUUUAAUAAUGACGAUUGGCAUGAUAAC
Long non-coding RNA from Colossoma macropomum (tambaqui), 757 nucleotides. RefSeq lists it as uncharacterized. Lineage: Eukaryota; Metazoa; Chordata; Actinopteri; Characiformes; Serrasalmidae. The record is from RefSeq and is a predicted model, not a curated record. The transcript has 3 exons.